UCGUGAGUAGCCCAUGACCACAGGUGUGCACAGAUUUCGCGUCGUCAUGGAUGUCAACAUGUGCAAUGACCCAUGUCAAAAUCAUCAAAACGAUGGGCAUGUACAGUGGUGCUAUACAGGGGUACAAAGUUGGGCGUGUAUGGAGUGGGAUUAUUGAAAACGUAUUAACAAAGAGCAUGCGGGCAUCACUGACAGGAUUUAGUGGCGUCGUGAGUGUCUACACAUCUGAUGGCUCAUGUCAAGGUAUAUCAGAAACGACGGGCAUGUACAGGGGUACAAAGUUGGGCGUGCAUGGAGUGGGAUUUGAAAACGUAUUAACAAAAAGCAUGCGGGCGUGACUGACGGGAUUUAGUGGCGUCGUGAGUGUCGACACAUCUGAUGGCUCAUGUCAAGGUACAUCAAAAGCGACAGGCGUGUAGAGUGGUGCCAUAAAGGGGUACAAAGCUGCGUGUACAUACAGUGGCAUUGUGAA
This is a long non-coding RNA of Dermacentor silvarum, 472 nucleotides long. RefSeq lists it as uncharacterized. The record is from RefSeq and is a predicted model, not a curated record. The transcript is spliced from 3 exons. Lineage: Eukaryota; Metazoa; Arthropoda; Arachnida; Ixodida; Ixodidae.